Molecule: ribosomal RNA, 1242 nt
Filed under: metagenome
Description: bacterial LSU rRNA
Rfam family: Bacterial large subunit ribosomal RNA
Source: RNAcentral
UGAAUACGAGAUGCUAGGGCGUCGAAGCAGUCUAUGUCAUACUUCCAAGAAAAGCUUGCACUGUCAUAAACAAAUAAUGCCUGUACCAUAACCGACACAGGUGGGUAGGUAGAGUAUACUAAGGGGCGCGAGAUAACUCUCUCUAAGGAACUCGGCAAAAUGACUCCGUAACUUCGGGAGAAGGAGUGCCUUAUUUAUAAGGUUGCAAUAACAAGAUCCAAGCAACUGUUUACCAAAAACACAGGUCUCCGCUAAGUCGUAAGACGAUGUAUGGGGGCUGACGCCUGCCCAGUGCCAGAAGGUUAAAGAAGUUGGUUAGCAUCCGCGAAGCUGAUAACUGAAGCCCUGGUGAACGGCGGCCGUAACUAUAACGGUCCUAAGGUAGCGAAAUUCCUUGUCGGGUAAGUUCCGACCCGCACGAAAGGCGUAAUGAUUUGGAUACUGUCUCGGAGAGGGGCUCGGUGAAAUAGACUUGUCUGUGAAGAUGCGGACUACCUGCACCAGGACAGAAAGACCCUAUGAAGCUUUACUGUAACCUGAAAUUGAAAUUGGACUUUACUUGCGCAGUAUAGGUGGGAGGCGUUGAGAAUAUUCUUGCGGGAUUAUUGGAGCCAUCAGUGAGAUACCACUCUUGUAAUGUUAGAUUUCUAACUUUGUAUCAUUAUCUGGUCAAAGAACAGUUUCAGGCGGGCAGUUUGACUGGGGCGGUCGCCUCCUAAACGGUAACGGAGGCGCACAAAGGUUUCCUCUGAACGGGUAGAAAUCGUAUCUAGAGUGUAAAGGCAUAAGGAAGCUUGACUGUGAGACCUACAAGUCGAGCAGGGACGAAAGUCGGUCUUAGUGAUCUGACGGUGCUGAGUGGAAAGGCCGUCACUCAACGGAUAAAAGUUACUCUAAGGAUAACAGGCUGAUCUCCCCCAAGAGUUCACAUCGACGGGGAGGUUUGGCACCUCGAUGUCGGCUCAUCGCUUCCUGGGGCGGUAGUACGUCCCAAGGGUUGGGCUGUUCGCCCAUGAAAGCGGUACGCGAGCUGGGUUCAGAACGUCGUGAGACAGUUCGGUCCAUAUCCGGUGUAGGCGUUAGAAUAUUGAGAGGAGCCUUCUUUAGUACGAGAGGACCGAGAAGGACAUACCUCUGGUGUACCAGUUAUCGUGCCAACGGUAAACGCUGGGUAGCUAUGUGUGGAGUGGAUAACCGCUGAAAGCAUCUAAGUGGGAAGCCCACCUCAAGAUAAGUAUUCUC